Rhopalosiphum padi (bird cherry-oat aphid) is the source of this 2147-nucleotide long non-coding RNA. RefSeq lists it as uncharacterized. The record is from RefSeq and is a predicted model, not a curated record. The transcript has 4 exons. Lineage: Eukaryota; Metazoa; Arthropoda; Insecta; Hemiptera; Aphididae.
GUCGUUAAACAACAGUCUUCAGUACAUGACAAGUACUCUCCUUUUCAUUUCGUUCUGUUUAUUUUCAUAAAAUAUCUUUAUACUCCCAUUUAGAACCAUGAUGAAGAUCGUAUGAAGAAAAUUUGGAGUUUCUUCGGCGGCGGUGCACCACUCCGUAGUCCGUAUACACUGUAGAUUGGUACAACUAGGUUUCCCGGGAAGAGUCGACGCUUAGAUCUUGCCAUAAUAUUGGAAAAACAAAAAAACUGAAAUAAUUAUGCAAUAUCCUUGUAUAAUGUCAACCCGGACCCGGAGGACGAUUGGCAGCAUCAAUAAGAAGAUCAUCUGAAUAACAAUAUAAUAGUGUCACAAGGCUGUGUUUGUUUAAUACUAUAAUUUUUUGAGCAGUAGUACAGUAUAUUAUGAAUAUUUACUUAAAUUAUAUUUAAUUUUUAUGGUUUUUUAUCAGAUAAUAUACUGUACUACGGUUUUAGGUGUUCUCUUUAUUUUAAUAAUAAGUCGAUAAAUUACUAAUUUUUUCAAUUUUUUUACUUAUCACAUAGCUAGUUCGUCUUUGUGUAUGUUUAAAUUUAUAUUAUUUAUAGUUAUUGUGCUGUUUAACUUUCUUAUAAAAGAGAGUGAGGAAUUUAAAAGGUGGCCACCGAACAGAAAGUUAAACUGCAAUAUACUAUAAUGUUUUUAGUUCUUGUUUACAUUUUUAACUGAUAAAUUAUGAAUAUAAAAUUUAAAAUUAAUUUAAAUUCAAAAAUAAAAGAACACCAAUAUAGAUUUCUUAAACAUUAAAAUUUGUCUAUAAGUUUAAAUUACAUUUAAUCUGCACAUUAGUUGAAGUUUUAUAGGAACCGAACAUUUGGCUGGGCCAUGGACUAUCCACCGACGAAGAAUUUGUCAUUGAGCUGAUGGAAAAUGUGUCGGCACUCGGCUUCGUUUCAACACGGAGGACGUCUGGCAGCAGCAAAAAGAAAUUCAACUGAUAAUCAACUGUCCAAAGGAUUUGUUUUGAAGAAGAAUUUGUCACAAAGUUGAUGGAAAAUGUGUCGGCUGUAUUUCAACACGGAGGACGUCUGGCAGCAGCAAAAAUAAAUUCAACUGAUAAUCAACUAUCAAAAGGAUUUGUUUUGAAGAAGAAGUUGUCACAAAGCUGAUGGGAAAAGUGUCGGCACUCGGCUUCGUUUCAACCCGGAGGAAGAUUGGCAGCAUUAUAGUAUAAGUUUCCCCUUACGCAUUAGCGCUCAUCUCUCAUCCACUCAUCCAACACAUUGACUAUCGCCGGCCGGCAACACACACAUAUUAUACACAUUACCCGUUUUAUAUUAUAUAAAAUUAUUAAUAUCAACAUAGUUUAAGUUAUUGUAUAUUUUUUUUUAUUAUUUGAAUGCAUUCAUAUGAUCAGUUGCGUAUUUAGAAAUUUUAGGAUAAGGGCAACACAUAUUUUGUUGCCUCUCCCCCAUUAAAUAAAAAAAACUUCUAUGCCGCGCAUUGGUCAAACUGUUAAUACCAUAGAAUACCAUGUUAUAUUAAUACUAUAUAGUAUUUUAUAUCUCUAUGGCACACAUUUGUUGUGAAAAAUAUUAAUGAUUGACGUCACUGCGCCAGUACUCAAAAAGUACGAAAUAAAAAUUUGCCGCCCCUCUAAAUCUUUAAAAAUUUGCCGUUCUGGACAACUGGACCCAAAGCCCCUACCUAAAUACGCCCCUACAUAUAAUGCGUUCUCGCUUAAGAUGUGGAUUAGGCCUACUGGGGACACCACAAUAAAAAAACGCGCCUCGUGUAAUACCUCAUAAAGUUAUUAAACAAUACGGACAAUGUUAUUGUACGUCGUUUAAUAGUAAAGGUGGUGUGGAAAAUUACCUAACACUGUUAUUCUUAUCUUAUAGUUACCUUGCAUACAUUUUUUUUAUUAAAUACCAAUUAAAUAAUUAUUUAUAUCAAGAAACGAGAAAUAUUAACGUUUUAUAAAGUAUUACAAUAAAAUAGUUUUGAAAAAAAAUAUUCUUUGACUUGUUAUAAAAAGACUCCAAGUAGUUAUUAUAUUAGUUCUUAUUUUAUAAAGACAUUAACAAAAGCAGUUCAAGUUUAAUAUUGCCAGAAAUCUUGUAUGUAUCUAUUACUUUACUUAAAACAUUGAAUUUACACAUAUUUUUAUU